RNAcentral lists this ribosomal RNA (509 nucleotides) under uncultured Escherichia sp. Its description in RNAcentral is "bacterial SSU rRNA". It matches the Rfam family "Bacterial small subunit ribosomal RNA", at positions 8 to 506 of the family's 1533-position model. Lineage: Bacteria; Pseudomonadati; Pseudomonadota; Gammaproteobacteria; Enterobacterales; Enterobacteriaceae. The record is from RNAcentral.
AGAGUUUGAUCCUGGCUCAGAUUGAACGCUGGCGGCAGGCCUAACACAUGCAAGUCGAACGGUAACAGGAAGCAGCUUGCUGCUUUGCUGACGAGUGGCGGACGGGUGAGUAAUGUCUGGGAAACUGCCUGAUGGAGGGGGAUAACUACUGGAAACGGUAGCUAAUACCGCAUAACGUCGCAAGACCAAAGAGGGGGACCUUCGGGCCUCUUGCCAUCGGAUGUGCCCAGAUGGGAUUAGCUAGUAGGUGGGGUAACGGCUCACCUAGGCGACGAUCCCUAGCUGGUCUGAGAGGAUGACCAUGCACACUGGAACUGAGACACGGUCCAGACUCCUACGGGAGGCAGCAGUGGGGAAUAUUGCACAAUGGGCGCAAGCCUGAUGCAGCCAUGCCGCGUGUAUGAAGAAGGCCUUCGGGUUGUAAAGUACUUUCAGCGGGGAGGAAGGGAGUAAAGUUAAUACCUUUGCUCAUUGACGUUACCCGCAGAAGAAGCACCGGCUAACUCCGU